Molecule: ribosomal RNA, 467 nt
Filed under: uncultured bacterium
Lineage: Bacteria
Description: partial 16S ribosomal RNA
Rfam family: Bacterial small subunit ribosomal RNA
Source: RNAcentral
GACGAACGCUGGCGGCGUGCUUAACACAUGCAAGUCGAACGGUGAUGCUCCAGCUUGCUGGAGUGGAUCAGUGGCGAACGGGUGAGUAACACGUGAGCAACCUGCCCCAGACUCUGGAAUAAGCGCUGGAAACGGCGUCUAAUACUGGAUACGAAACUGGCCCGCAUGGGCAUGGUUUGGAAAGUUUUUCGGUUUGGGAUGGGCUCGCGGCCUAUCAGCUUGUUGGUGAGGUAAUGGCUCACCAAGGCGACGACGGGUAGCCGGCCUGAGAGGGCGACCGGCCCCACUGGGACUGAGACACGGCCCAACCCCCUACGGGAGGAAGCGGUGGGGAAUUUUGCACAGUGGGCGAAAGCCUGAUGCGGCGACGCCGCGUGGGGGAUGACGGCCUUCGGGUUGUAAACCUUUUUCAGCAGGGAAGAAGCGAAAGGGACGGUUCCUGCAGAAGAAGCACCGGCUAACUACGU